GUGGGGUAAAGGCCUACCAAGGCGACGAUCAGUAGCCGGCCUGAGAGGGUGGACGGCCACACUGGGACUGAGACACGGCCCAGACUCCUACGGGAGGCAGCAGUGGGGAAUAUUGGACAAUGGGCGAAAGCCUGAUCCAGCAAUGCCGCGUGUGUGAAGAAGGCCUGCGGGUUGUAAAGCACUUUAAGUGGGGAAGAACGGGAUUGUGCUAAUACCGCGAUCCUUUGACGUUACCCACAGAAUAAGCACCGGCUAACUCCGUGCCAGCAGCCGCGGUAAUACGGAGGGUGCGAGCGUUAAUCGGAAUUACUGGGCGUAAAGCGCAUGUAGGCGGUUUGAUAAGUCGGAUGUGAAAUCCCUGGGCUUAACCUGGGAAUGGCAUUCGAUACUGUCAGGCUAGAGUAGGAUAGAGGAGAGGGGAAUUCCGCGUGUA
RNAcentral lists this ribosomal RNA (433 nucleotides) under uncultured bacterium. Its description in RNAcentral is "bacterial SSU rRNA". It matches the Rfam family "Bacterial small subunit ribosomal RNA", at positions 252 to 677 of the family's 1533-position model. The record is from RNAcentral.